Long non-coding RNA from Melanotaenia boesemani (Boeseman's rainbowfish), 626 nucleotides. RefSeq lists it as uncharacterized. The record is from RefSeq and is a predicted model, not a curated record. Lineage: Eukaryota; Metazoa; Chordata; Actinopteri; Atheriniformes; Melanotaeniidae. The transcript has 4 exons.
CCUGCAGGAUGCCAGUGCACAACGCCCGCCCCGCUGCAGCCACCCCAAGCCCCUGCUGCUCACAGAAGAGGAAGCUUGUGAAUGACAAUGAGCCGCCGUACAUCAAGAAGCCACCCAACGCCUUCUUGCUCUUCUUGAAGGAGCAGAGGGCGGCUGUGGUGGCUGAGCUCGGCAUCACUGGGAGCGCGGCCGUGAACACCGUCUUGGGGGAGAGAGUCCUUGUCUACUGAGCAGCAGGCGAAGUAUUUCCAGGAGGCCAAUGUGUUGAGGCGCCAGCACGAACAGCAACACCCCCAGUGGUCCAGCAUGGACAACUAUGGCCAGAGGAGGAAGAGGAGGCGCCAGAGGAGCACAGCUCCCAGCAGCUCUGGAGGUAACACAAGACUUGUGUGGAUCACAGCAUGUGAUCAUGUGAUGAAAACAAGGUGACAUGUGACCACACUGAGUCAUAUUUGACUGGAUUAGAUCCCAGAUUGUUAGAACAUCGUUGUUGAACCACAGCGAGACACAAACUGAAGAUUUCAGAACGUUGUUUAGCACCGUGGAGGAGAAAUCAGCUGAUUUAGACUUUAAGAUGAAGGUCACAGUCAGGCUUAGAAUUAAAAUCUCUCUCCAUGCAGAAGCUG